Ruditapes philippinarum (Manila clam) is the source of this 585-nucleotide long non-coding RNA. RefSeq lists it as uncharacterized. The transcript is spliced from 3 exons. NCBI's taxonomy places the organism in Eukaryota, Metazoa, Mollusca, Bivalvia, Venerida, Veneridae. The record is from RefSeq and is a predicted model, not a curated record.
AGUCUAGCUAUUAAUUUUUUUUUCAGGUGUGUCUAUUCCGGUGAAUUCUUUAAAGUGUUUCGAAUAUGCAUGUAAUGGUACAAACUGUCUUAGUACAGAAGUUGUCAAUAACCCCUUGCUUAUAAAGAAAUGUGAAAGAGUUAUCUACAAAGGUUGUUAUACGGUGACGACUACUUUCAAUGAAUUUUCCUUGACAACGGCAGGAUGUGUUGAUAAACAAUUUGAAUGCUCGACUGGCACGUGCUCUGGUACAUUUGUCAGAACAAAGGUGUCUUGCUGUAACACGGAUCUUUGUAAUGAUGGGAUCGUGUAUUCACAUUCAGACAAGAUCAUACUAAGUUGGAUAUGUUUCAUAUUAUGUGUGAUAUUUAGCUUUAAUGACCUUGGCGAUUUUUGAACAGGAAUGAUUUGUUCCGAGUGCCCUACUAGUGAUGCAGGGUUGUGUCACACUUUGUCCAGAUCACACUUUGUCUAGAUUUUUGCCUUGUUGAAAUUCGUACAUCUUGAAAGAUGCGUCUCUCAGAAGGAAAGAACAAUAAAUAUUUGGUUGUUAAAUUAAACUGUUUAUAUAAAUUUUAGAUAGUU